AUGGCGUCCACUCAAACUCUGCAGAUCAGACGAGAGGUGCGGGGACGAGUUGGGUUGGGAAGCACGAGCACCAUGGACGAUUUGGGUGAGGAGAGAUCAUGGCUGCAGCCACCUAGCUCCAACCACCGCCGGGACAGAGGAGGCCCCGGCGCCAUGGACAAGCAGCCGCGAUUUGAUCUGCUUCCCCUGCAACGUCGCCUAUCUCUACUCAAUUCAGGCAGCAGCAAUAGCACUCGAGAUGCAGGAAGAGCUCCUAGCUCGGGAACCUCAACAAGCAACACCAAGUCAUCUCCAUGGAUGGCAUCCACAAGCGACCAAGAUGACGACCAGGAGCCCGACGACGGCGGCGCCGACUACAACCUCUCCGUCUCCGAGAUUUGCCUUGCAAGAUGGUUAGUCGAAGAGGAUGUCUUCAUACUAUGCCAGUUCAGCUUUUUUGUGUGCCCGACGAAUCUUAGCUGCAGCUGGCAAAAAAGCCAAUCAGCCCUAUCCAUCACCGGAGUCCCUCUCUUCCGGAUAGCAGAUAAAUUUGCCUUGCAAGAUGGCUCGUCGAAGAGAACGUCUUCAUACCUGCCAGUUCAGCUUCUUGUGUGUGUGGCGCGGUGA
This 606-nucleotide ribosomal RNA is filed under the name Triticum aestivum (bread wheat). Its description in RNAcentral is "partial small subunit ribosomal RNA". The record is from RNAcentral. Lineage: Eukaryota; Viridiplantae; Streptophyta; Magnoliopsida; Poales; Poaceae.